This is a ribosomal RNA of 402 nucleotides. It matches the Rfam family "Bacterial small subunit ribosomal RNA", at positions 355 to 774 of the family's 1533-position model.
UGGGGAAUAUUGGGCAAUGGGGGAAACCCUGACCCAGCGACGCCGCGUGAGGGAAGAAGGUUUUCGGAUUGUAAACCUCUGUCUUCGGGGACGAAUAAUGACGGUACCCGAGGAGGAAGCCACGGCUAACUACGUGCCAGCAGCCGCGGUAAUACGUAGGUGGCAAGCGUUGUCCGGAAUUACUGGGUGUAAAGGGAGCGUAGGCGGGUAUGCAAGUCAAAUGUUAAAUUCACAGGCUCAACCUGUGACCGCGUUUGAAACUGCGUAUCUUGAGUGAAGUAGAGGCAGGCGGAAUUCCUAGUGUAGCGGUGAAAUGCGUAGAUAUUAGGAGGAACACCAGUGGCGAAGGCGGCCUGCUGGGCUUUUACUGACGCUGAGGCUCGAAAGCAUGGGGAGCAAACA